CAGAAAAGCAGAUAAAAUAAGUAUUAUAAGCUCAGAACACCAAAUUACUCUAGUGACAACAGUUGUCAACCUAACUGAAGGAAAUUGAACAGCAUAAUAAAGACACAGUUGACCAUAUCUGACAAUCGGUCCCAGAUAUGCAACAACCAGGUAGAAGUAGACAUGGAGAGACUUUACAUAAGGAUAUGCACGUAACUCGAUAUGACAUUAAGCCUAGCAAGAAUAGA
Pelobates cultripes (western spadefoot toad) is the source of this 227-nucleotide non-coding RNA. The record is from the annotation of a GenBank genome assembly. NCBI's taxonomy places the organism in Eukaryota, Metazoa, Chordata, Amphibia, Anura, Pelobatidae.